ACAGCUCCGGUUGCGGGGAGGCCCGGGUGGGUACCCGGCGCUCCGGCUCCCAGUCUCCUGGGCUUCUCCAGUCCUUCAGCGCCGUUCUCCGGUCACAGGGAAUGAAAGCGAGGAAGAAGGAAACGGUGUCGAGAAUUGCGAAGAGAGAAAGCAUAGAAAACCCACAUUAGAGGCACUCCCAGAGCAGAAACCCUUCGGAGCAUCCCGACUUCCUCGGCCCGCGUGCAAUCCAGGCAAAAUUGAGGUUGUCUCUGAGCCGCCCUCCCUAAGCAGGUCGGAAAGCCCCCGAAUCAUCCCAGGUCCCGCCGCGCUGCACUCGCAACCUGGGGUGGAGGUCCCUCUAGUGGUUGGCACCAAACAAAAGUUCUGUCUUAUGAAGAGCCGAGGUCAGGAAGCAUUUCCCUGUGCCCAGCGCCAAGGUCUGGGACCUUAGGUCCAAGAAAAGCGUUGGCAAUGUCUGACCACAGGAAUGGGUUCUCGAACUGGGGAGGACUGAAGCUGGAGAUCUGGUCCAGCCCCUACCUCCAGCGUGUGGCCUGAACCCGUUUUGGUUGUACUGCUAUGUUGUGGCCCUGCCCAGGCCUCCAAGGACUGGCUGCUGUUAAGCUGUUUAAAAUCCCUGUAGGCCUCAGAUGGCAGCGACACCAGGGACUCGGCAUAGUCCCCAGCUCUGGCAGGAGUCACCACAGCCCUAGCCUUUAGUUCUCUACAGGCUGGAGUGUCGACAAACUCCACAGGACACAACUUUUUCAAACCAAAUUUACCCUCGCGGUCUGAAAUGACCAGUAGGCCCAGGAGAAUUUUACAUGUGAACAGAACCUAACCCACCCUGGCAAAUAUGAGACGUGUGGUCACUGCGGGAACCUGGCCAGCAGCAGACCAAAGCACAGCCAGCAGGGGAAGGCUGGGGCCCGCAAGAGUUGUGUUACAACAGGACACCCUUCAGUUCUCUUUCACUUCCUUAAAAUAGCAGCAGAGCGACUUUUGUAGACGCAGGCUGCCACAGUUCACACAAGGUCAUGGCUGUUUCCGAAUCCCACCCUUUAUUGCCCUAGCGGAGCCACUCCCCUUACCUCCGCCCCCAGAAACUGCUAGCCUGUUCUUAAAUUGAUACAGUUACCUUUUUAAAUGUUCUAAGUCACCGGCUCUGGAGCUUCUUUGCACUUUGGAACCAACUUGCGGGAAGGAACUUUAAAAAUACUGAUAUCUCGAUCCAUCCCCAGAGGUUCUGAUUUAAUGGUCUUGGGGAUAUGGCCACGGCAUGAGGACUGUUAAAACUCCGCAGGUGAUUCUUAUGUGCAACAAAGUUUAAGAACCACUGAUGUAGGCCAUGUCGAUGUCAGUCUUCACUUAAAUCCAACAAGACCCCAGAGCUAAAACGUUCACCUGAAAGAAACCCCAUUCCCAGGCCUGCAUACUGACCUGCGCUGGCUCACAAGAAGCAAAGUGGUCCCUUAACAGGGGCUUCCUGGAGAAAAUGUCUUGACCUAAAAGAGUGAUUCGAGCUGCAGGGAUUUAAGAGAGACAGGGCCUUGCUCUGUCACCCAGGCUGAAAUGCAGUGUUGCAAUCUUGGCUCGCUGUAGCCUCAAGCUCUUGGACUCAGGCGAUUCUCCUAUCUCAGCUUCCUAAGUAGCUGGGACUACAGGGCUCAGUGUGGUCAAAAGAAGACUAUAGAAUCAAGGAUGAAGAGAAGGAACACAGAAUAAAAGGACGUCUCAGCAGGAAGCUCUGUGACUACUAUGUCAAAUGAUGCCAUACAGUGAAGCACCUUGAAAGAUUGCUGGGAUAAGCUGACAGCAUGGCAGCCAAAAUAGUGACCCCAGGCUUGCAGGAAUUCUGUGCUUUCUGGAGGAAAUGGUCAUGGGUUUCCCAACCUGCCUUUUAAACUAAGAGUUGGAAUCCAACCAGCAGCAAUGUCAGAUUUGUUGUUGUCGGUCAUGAGGUACAUGCUAGUCCCUUGCAAGGAACAGUUUCAGGCACAGCUGGAUCCAGAGGUUCAGACAGUGUCAUCAGGACUCAUUAUCACCUUCUCUACUUCUCAAGUAUGCUUUCUUUUGUUUCACUCCAUCCCGGAGUGCACUCUAUUAUUUUGAUGGUGAGAUAGCAGCCAACAACCCCACAUUUGCAUCCUCACAGCUUCAAGUCCAGUGGAAAGAUGUGACUUUUCCGGAUAGUUCCAACAAAAUUCCUGGGCCUAAAUUGGGUCACACACUCACCCCGAACCAAUCCCUGAAUGUGAUGAUUGGGCUUAAGCCUGGGGAGAUGCAAAGACAUUCCUGGAGCUGAGGAUGUGGAUGCCUCUACCCAAACCACAUGGUUAGAGGGGGAAGAGGGUACAACAAUACACACUAAUUUCUUGCUGAUGAGUUUGUGGUUGGCUGCAGCUCUGCCAGACAGGUAGAAAUCUACUUCUGCGUCUUCUUGUUCCAGGACCGAGCUGAAGAAGCCCCCGUCUUCCAGCGCAUGUUAUUCCCAUGACAGAUGCUAAAAGUUCAAGGGGAGAGCUACAAGAAGUGCGUUUUCCUGUGGCUACUUUCAUGUCUGGAUGCAAUGCCUAGACCUGCAUCCAUCUUGCGACCAACCUGAAGAUGAACAGAAAGGAAGGAAGGAUGGCCCAAUAGCCUGGGAAGAACUGGUGUUCCUGAUACCAUCAUUAACCACAGAAUCUACAAUCCCGGAACCCCCCAUCCUUAACCAUGGAAUCUACAAUCCUAUCUCUAGACCCUUUGUCCAGAUGCUACAGUUUCUUUGUUCAAUCUAGUUUGUGUCAGGAUUUCUGUUCAUUACAUCAAAAGUAUUCUAAUACUUGUAGCAAAGCAACUGGAGAAGUUUUCACUUUGUCUUUAACCAAAGAAGACUUCCAGGAAACAUCUCCUCAGUGGGUUUCUCCCUCACCACUGGAUUUUUAUCUCUGUACUAGUGCUUUGAUUUGUUUUAGGAGUCUCACCUCUCCACCUGUCAUAUUUCCCUGGCAGGCUCAUUUCUGCUAAUGCCCACAAUAUGUGUAUCAAUGAGCUUUCAACGUUAGGUACACAGCUCUUCAGGCAUGUAUAGCACAUUAAUCUGUCUGCUUCUAAGUGGUCUGUUGACAUGUUUGGGUGCCAGUUAUAUCUACAAGGCUGUGAUCAUUGUCCUGGGUUAUUCUGUUUGUUCUCUCUGCAGGAUGCAUUAGGACACCCAAGGCCAUGGCCAUCACUUACAUCUAGGAUUCAAUCUUAUCUCCUGUGAAUCACUGGAAACCUCCUGUCCUGGAACCCUUUUUUUCCACAUCCCACUGGAUGUCAUUCAUAGCAACUGGUCUUGUGGGUUGUCUAUUUUAUUGUGUUGUCUUACUCUUCCUCCUGGUAUCAGUUUUUAAAUCCUCUUGAUGAGAUCAGCUGAUCAGUCGCUAAGCAACAUAGUCCCCCAUGUCUUUGUAAGAUUCUCUGCACUCAUGGCUAGAAUGAUUUAUUCUGGUAUCUUAAGCUGUGUUUCAGAACCUCAUUCUAAAUAUCAACCUAUUCUUGUAAGUCCACUACUGAUCAUCUUUAGAUAUUCUUCAGUCUUCCAGAGUUCCAAAGGGCAGUAGGAAGAAGCAAUGAAAAUACCACCUGUAUUCUCACAUCUUUCAUUGUUCCACUCAAAAAAUACCACCAUGUUCACUUCUGGUGGAACGUUUAUGUCCAUGAGAAGCAGUGGCUUUGAAGAGUUUUGGCAGACUAUGGCGCCUUACUCAACAUUGGGAAGGUAUCUUGCCAUCAGACCUUUUGGGUCUCCAUGAAACUUCUUAUACCCCCUCUGGGAAAAGUCACUAACUGUGAUCUUACUGAGCUUCUAAACACAGCAUUUUUUUUACACUUAAGUGAGCGGGGGUCCUCCUCAUUUGUGCUUCUCUUCUUGUAAGGGUGACUUCCUCCCAGUAGGAUGAAUCUCAUGCCUAUUUGUGUUAUUUUGCUAAUUCCAGCUUCUUUUCUACUCAGGGGGGUUCCAACUCUUUUAAGGUCUCAUCUUCAGCACUUCUAAACUGUGGGAAACUAUGUGAAAACAAAUGGAGUGGCCAAACACACCAUUCAUCACUGUGCUUCUGGACAGCUGCAAGUCCAUACGUGUUCUGAUGAAGUCUGGCUCUGUUGCCCAGGCUGGAGUGCAAUGGCACAGUCUCGGCUCACUGCAACCUCUGCCUCCUGGGUUCAUGCAAUUCUCCUGCCUCAGCUUCCCAAGUAGCUGGGAUUACAGACAUGCACCACCAUGCCCAGCUAAUUUUUGUAUUUUUAGUACAAACAGGGUUUCACUAUGUUAGUCGGGCUGAUCUUGAACUCCUGACCUCAAGUGAUCCACUCCCCGCAGCCUCCCAAAGUGCUGGGAUUACAGGCGUGAGCCACUGCGCCCGGCCUUUCAGCUGAUUUUCUAAUCAAGAAGUUAUAUCAGUCUUUGUCUGCAGUUGCUCAAAGACUCUCUUUUAAAGUGCAGAGACUAUCCACCUCAGCUAUAGCACAGGGCUCAGCACUGUAUUUCCAGUUAUGGAAUACAGUUAUUUCAUAUAUGUUAUAUUAUUCUUAAUUCUGUCCCUAGUUCCUGCUACUGAGGAAGUCCAUACUCAGCAGGACAGUCUCCUGGUCUGCCAUGAAUUCAAACACAAUCUGUAAAGACAGUGAAGGAAGCUACAUCUGUGCAUGGGGGCUUUAGAGAAUUAUUGGCUUGAAGCAAUAAGAGGAACAUCUGGGCUGAGUAGUCCUCGAAGACUCUCAUGUGAUUCAAAAGUCCUUUUCUUCCUUAUUAUUUCCUAUCUUGCUCUCAAGCAUCUCCUCUGGCAGCAGCAACUGGAACUAAAAGUGAUUUCUCUAUAACAGCGAGCAAGUUUCUCAUGGCCUUUGCUAUUAACUCUUUCAUGCCUGCUGACCUGCAAAAGAAUCAGGAGGGCUGGUGCUGGAGCAGAUGGCGCACUGUGAGUGAUGGUUUAGAUUCUGCCUGGACUCAAACCAUUUGGUUGAUGGCGGGAACCUUGAUUUUCCCCCUUCUUAUCCUGAGAGUGUAGGGUUUCUCUGAAUUAUUAUUUCUUUCUUUGCAAGGAUCCCUGGAUCCUCAUUCCUGAUAUAAGACUAGUUCUAGGUAAGUGCACAUUCAUGUGAUAUAUUGGUUCCAUACUAGGCAAUGGAAGUGCCACAUUAUCUGUAAGGAGCAGGAGAAGAGCCAUUAGCCCCAGUCCUGGGAACGAACUUUCUGUAACUUUAAGAAACAUAAAACUUUAAAUGCAACUGAAAGAUUAUAUUCUGUCACCUCCAACUACUCACCCAUAAAUACAAUAGGCACCACGGAGGCUAGGAUAAAGUGCAAAUUUAAGAUUAUAAGUGUGCUUAUAAUAAAUAUUGACAACAUCAUGCCUUCAAUGUUAUCAAUGUUGAUGUCACCCUGCAGGCCCAAGGUAGAGAGGUAGAACUGCUCCGCUGGCUGCCCUGCCAUACUUUGGGGUCAUGUGAUACGAUCUUCCAUAGCCACGGGGCCUUGGUUGUCAACUCAUUCCUGAACUUUGUGUGCCAAAGUGAGUCCAGCUUCCACACCCUUCACCUCCACCACCAGGCUGAUCCAGACUGCCAGGCUACGAUCCUCCAAGCAGGAUCCUACCUUGAUCUUAAAAACUUCCUAUGAAGAGCUCUACCAUCAUGUUUUCUAAAACCAGAAGCCCACCCUAAUCCCUGCCUGGCUUUUGGUUCCUUCAUUAGAGGCAAUCACUGCCAUAGAGAGCCCCACUCACUAUCCCUCCAUAGACGCCUUAGAACUAGGUUGGGAGCACGAGAUGCUCAGCCUUUAUAUUUUGUUAUCUUGAACCACAUGGGAGUCUUUGAGGACUACCCAGCCCAGACAUUUCUCUUAUUACUGCAAGCCGAUAAUUCUCUAAAGCACCUAAGCACAGACGUAGCUUCCUUCACUGUCUUUACAGAUUGUGUUUGAAUUCAUGGCACAGCAGAAGACUGUCCUGCUGUGUAUGGAGUUCCUCAGUAGCAGGAACUAGGGACAGAAUUGAGAAUAGCACUAACACCAGAAAUACAGUGCUGAGCCCUGUGCUGUAGCUGAGGUGGAUGGUCUCUGACUCUGUGGGCCUCUCUGCAGCCAGUCCAAUUCCUGUCUUUCUCUUGUGAAUAAAUGUUGCUGGCUCCAACUCAGCCUUAUUUUUUGAUGUGAUUCUGACUCCAGUCAUUAAGGGGGAUGUCUUAG
Molecule: long non-coding RNA, 6193 nt
Filed under: Homo sapiens (human)
Lineage: Eukaryota; Metazoa; Chordata; Mammalia; Primates; Hominidae
Description: non-protein coding lnc-CYB5R2-3:16
Source: RNAcentral